This 209-nucleotide ribosomal RNA is filed under the name uncultured bacterium. Its description in RNAcentral is "partial 16S ribosomal RNA". It matches the Rfam family "Bacterial small subunit ribosomal RNA", at positions 568 to 776 of the family's 1533-position model. The record is from RNAcentral.
CGCGUAGGCGGCUUUAUAAGUCUGGAGUGAAAGUCCUCUUUUCAAGGGAGGAAUUGCUUUGGAAACUAUAGAGCUUGAGUGCAGGAGAGGUUAUCGGAAUUCCCGGUGUAGCGGUGAAAUGCGUAGAUAUCGGGAGGAACAUCGGUGGCGAAGGCGGGUAACUGGACUGCAACUGACGCUGAGGCGCGAAAGUGUGGGGAGCAAAACAG